GACAGAGGUGCCAAGCGUUAGGCGGAAUCACUGGGCUUAAAGCGUGUGUAGGCGGAUCGUUAAGUACCUUGUGAAAUCCCACGGCUCAACCGUGGAACUGCUGGGUAUACUGGCGGUCUUGAGCCACCUAGGGGCGAGCGGAACAAGCGGUGGAGCGGUGAAAUGCGUAGAUAUCGCUUGGAACGCCAACGGUGAAAACAGCUCGCUGGGGGUGUGCUGACGCUGAGACACGAAAGCCAGGGGAGCGAACAGG
RNAcentral lists this ribosomal RNA (253 nucleotides) under uncultured bacterium. RNAcentral describes it as "partial 16S ribosomal RNA". It matches the Rfam family "Bacterial small subunit ribosomal RNA", at positions 524 to 776 of the family's 1533-position model. The record is from RNAcentral.